GCAGAGUAGAAAUAUGUGCGUUAAGUGCUGGCCGGACGGGGAGUUGCCGGUGGGACGAAAAGUGAAUAACUUGCGGUACAUAUUUUGCAUCCCGCUGC
Molecule: non-coding RNA, 98 nt
Filed under: uncultured Faecalimonas sp.
Lineage: Bacteria; Bacillati; Bacillota; Clostridia; Lachnospirales; Lachnospiraceae
Description: THF riboswitch
Rfam family: THF (Tetrahydrofolate) riboswitch aptamer
About the family: THF riboswitch presents a pseudoknot that joins P1-P2 and the loop of P3 and two THF binding.
Source: RNAcentral